UAAUAAGUGUUUUAUGGCACUCUUUAAAUCCAUAUCCACCCUGUGUGCAAUGUCAGUCGAUCUUCUUCAUGGAGAUCGACCAAACAUCAACCUUUAUCUUUUAACUCUUUGUCUGAAAAAUAUUAUGAAUAAACAAUUCAAAAUA
RNAcentral lists this unclassified non-coding RNA (145 nucleotides) under soil metagenome. RNAcentral describes it as "partial internal transcribed spacer 1". The record is from RNAcentral.